Molecule: transfer RNA, 72 nt
Filed under: Streptomyces mutabilis
Lineage: Bacteria; Bacillati; Actinomycetota; Actinomycetes; Kitasatosporales; Streptomycetaceae
Source: RNAcentral
CAGAACCGGCCGCGGAGCCGGCCACCCUCGCCAGCACCAAAGCGAACACCGAAGCGGUGAACGAGCCGAAGG